CGAGCAUCUAAGGACAGAUUACAAUAUGAUCAUUGUGCUUGUUCCACAGGUGCCUCCAAUUCAUAUAGUAAGCCAGGUAAAAGCUGGGACGGCCUCUCUUUGGAGCCACUGAGCGCUGUGUUUCCUCCACUCAACUUUACCCUUUGUUGGCAUCGGCCGAUCAGCUACUGUUGGAGCAGCUCACUUUAAGUUUACAUUCUGCUAAGUCAUUUCAAUCACAGAGUUCCCCCUGACCUGCUGGUCUGAUCAAAGACCUCUUUGAUUGCACUGAACCC
Molecule: long non-coding RNA, 275 nt
Organism: Solea senegalensis (Senegalese sole)
Lineage: Eukaryota; Metazoa; Chordata; Actinopteri; Pleuronectiformes; Soleidae
Exons: 3
Source: RefSeq, a predicted model, not a curated record